UGGGGAAUAUUGGACAAUGGACCAAAAGUCUGAUCCAGCAAUUCUGUGUGCACGAUGACGUUUUUCGGAAUGUAAAGUGCUUUCAGUUGGGAAGAAAAAAAUGACGGUACCAACAGAAGAAGUGACGGCUAAAUACGUGCCAGCAGCCGCGGUAAUACGUAUGUCACAAGCGUUAUCCGGAUUUAUUGGGCGUAAAGCGCGUCUAGGUGGUUAUGUAAGUCUGAUGUGAAAAUGCAGGGCUCAACUCUGUAUUGCGUUGGAAACUGCAUGACUAGAGUACUGGAGGGGUAAGCGGAACUACAAGUGUAGAGGUGAAAUUCGUAGAUAUUUGUAGGAAUGCCGAUGGGGAAGCCAGCUUACUGGACAGAUACUGACGCUAAAGCGCGAAAGCGUGGGUAGCAAACAGGAUUAGAUACCCUGGUAGUCCACGCCGUAAACGAUGAUUACUAGGUGUUGGGGGUCGAACCUCAGCGCCCAAGCUAACGCGAUAAGUAAUCCGCCUGGGGAGUACGUACGCAAGUAUG
This 524-nucleotide ribosomal RNA is filed under the name uncultured bacterium. RNAcentral describes it as "bacterial SSU rRNA". It matches the Rfam family "Bacterial small subunit ribosomal RNA", at positions 355 to 896 of the family's 1533-position model. The record is from RNAcentral.